Manihot esculenta (cassava) is the source of this 637-nucleotide RNA transcript. It is a transcript of the gene named ADP-ribosylation factor-like protein 2, with no coding region annotated. The record is from RefSeq and is a predicted model, not a curated record. NCBI's taxonomy places the organism in Eukaryota, Viridiplantae, Streptophyta, Magnoliopsida, Malpighiales, Euphorbiaceae. The transcript is spliced from 2 exons.
UCUCCCACCUCCACCUUGUUCUCCUAUCUCUGGAUUCUUCUCUUUGAUUUGAGAUUCGCAACUAGUAGUCUUAAUGGGUCAUAGCCAACUUUUUGUCCAGAUUUCUUCAAUUUAUAGGUUUUAUUUUGUUGAUUUUGUCAUGUAAAGCAAUACAGCUCUGCUGAUAACAUUGUGCAUUGCACUCCCAGGUAGAGGAGAAUAUGCGAUUAAGGACUGAACUUCAGAAAAAAAUUCAGGAACUUGAAAAAUACGUAAGUGCUUCUAAUAGUUUCUGCUACUCUAUCCAAUAUGAAUUGAAUUGCCAGCUGAUUAAAUCCAAGUACUAAACCUGGAGAAUAUGGACAAAACCAGGCACUGGAAAAUCGUGGGCUGUAGCGCAUACACAGGGGAGGGGUUGCUUGAGGGAUUUGAUUGGUUGGUUCAGGACAUGAUGAUACCUUAGGAUCUAGUCAACAUUAAGCAAUAGAGUUAGGUUUUUUUAUUGGCCCUCUCAGAGAACUGAUUAAGGUCCAUUUGUACUGUUUUAUUGAUUAUCUUAUUGUUGUGGAAUUUAGUCAAGCUGUGAAUUCGACAAAAAAAAAAAGUGAAGCUGUGAAACUUUUUGGGUCAAUAGUAUUAUUAAAACUUUCAAUGGGAA